RNAcentral lists this long non-coding RNA (211 nucleotides) under Mytilus galloprovincialis (Mediterranean mussel). The record is from RNAcentral. Lineage: Eukaryota; Metazoa; Mollusca; Bivalvia; Mytilida; Mytilidae.
GAGUAACUCUUAUAAUUCAGAAAAUUUUAUUUAUAUAUUUUCUUUUUAGCUGAAGGUCAUUAUCAAUAAGGUUUUGUUUAAAAAAUGAGACAGAAUAAAAGUGUAUCAGCAGCAAAAUAUUGGGAAGGCGUUACAAUAUAACAUUUUUAAGAUGGUUGACUAUUUCAUUUGUCAUUAAUAUAAUAUUAAAAAUAAAUUAGCAGGAAAUCUU